GGAAAACCAACGGAGAUAGGUUUGUUGGUGAGCCGAGGGUAAAACCAACGUGUAAGGGUUUGAUUGUGAUCCCGGGAAAACAAUCGGAGUGGUUCUAGUCGGUGAGCCUGGGAAACCGACCGAGUUCGUUGUGACCUCGUAAAACAACAAGUUGGGUUGUGAGCUUGUAAAACAACCGGCUGUAAUCUGUAGGAUUAUAGUGAAAUUUCCAAGAAGUCUUGGGGAGUGGAUGUAGGUGCUGGGGUGCACCGAACCACUAUAUGUUUGUUGUGUUUGCAAUGCUCCUUGAUAUUAUCUAACUAACACACUUACUUACUUAGAUAAAUUGCUUGCUUAACUGCUAUCCGCACAUCCUUUAGUUGCAA
RNAcentral lists this long non-coding RNA (365 nucleotides) under Phoenix dactylifera (date palm). RNAcentral describes it as "long non-coding RNA (PDAC_LNC011931)". The record is from RNAcentral. Lineage: Eukaryota; Viridiplantae; Streptophyta; Magnoliopsida; Arecales; Arecaceae.